GUGAAUCAUCGAAUCUUUGAACGCACAUUGCGCCCUUUGGUAUUCCGAAGGGCAUGCCUGUUCGAGCGUCAUUAUCACCCCUCAAGCUCUGUGCUUGGUGUUGGACGGCCGGUCGAGCGAUCGACCCCUCCUAAAGACAAUGACGGCGGCCUGUGGUUCCCCCGGUACACUGAGCUUCUCACCGAGCACGUAUCGGACAAGGGCACCCGGGACCCCGGUCUUCCCCUUUCACAAAAGGAAACUUUCUAUGGUUGACCUCGGAUCAGGUAGGAAUACGCGCUGAACUUAAGCAUAUCAAUA
Molecule: unclassified non-coding RNA, 300 nt
Filed under: uncultured Cladophialophora
Lineage: Eukaryota; Fungi; Ascomycota; Eurotiomycetes; Chaetothyriales; Herpotrichiellaceae
Description: sequence contains 5.8S rRNA gene, ITS2
Rfam family: 5.8S ribosomal RNA (bases 1-71)
Source: RNAcentral